AUAGCAAGUGCCAAUGAUAAGCUGCAUAGGCCUCUUUUGGCAAGACUUUAGUCUGUCACCCUUGGGUUAAGAAUGAAUAAGCCGGGUGUGGUGGUGCAUGCCUAUUGUCACAGUUACUCGGGAGGCUGAGGCAGGAGGAUCACUUGAGCCCAGGAGUUCUGGACUAUGGUGUGCUAUGCCGAUCGGGUGUCUGCAAUAAGUUAGGCACCAAAUAGUGAACUCCUGGGAGCAUGGGACUACCAGGUUACCUAAGGAGGGGUGAAUUGGCUCAGAUCAGACAUGGAGCAGGUAAAAACUGCCCUGCUAAUCAGUAGAGGGAUCGCACCUGUGCAUAGUCACUGCAUGCCAGCCUGGGCAGCACAGCAACACCCCACCUCCAAAACACGACAAGAAAAGAACGAAUAAACAAAAAAAAGAAGCAUGGUAACAAAUAUAACUUAUUUUUUUCAGGAGCCAGAGGAAAAUUUCAGAAAAAUUGUGUAGUAUAUUAAAAGUGAUGUAAAGAAGACAUGAUUUUUGAAAAAUGGAGCAGAAAGCCCAAAGAGAAAUCAUGCUUCAAUGAAAAUCAAGAUAAGAUGCAGACAAGUUGAGAAGAAAAGGGAUCUGGAGAGACAAGAAGGAAAUGCAGACAUGCCCUGUCCUCUUCCUCCUCCCUGAGCCCUAGGUCCUGAGGAAAGAAAGGCAGCUACAGAGCAGUUUCUCCGGCCCUACAUGUGGCAUGAAAGCAGCAGAGACAGGCUGCUUGAAGAGCCUCUUCCCACCCUUGGCACUGUGCAAGAUGCAUGGCACGACCCCAGGAUGCAGAAAGCAUAGGAAUAACUAAGAAUAAAUUUUAUGCCAAACCUGCAGAAAGGCACUCUGGAUCAGAAAUGAAGUUGCAUUCCUGAACUUGCCAUUGUCUUAGAGGGGCUAAUGCAAUUUAAAUCAGUGAUUGGAGAACAGACCAGAAAACUUCCCAAAUGUGGAGGACAUUGGACAAGAAAACUGAUUAGAGAAAUGAUAAAUAUGAAAAAGAGAAUAGUGAUCCAAUUAUAAGAUAUUGCAAAGCUCAGAACUUGGUAAAAAUCACCUGAACAUGCAGGCUUGUUCAUGGAGAGAUUAUGGAUCAGAAGCAAGAGCCCAAGAGGCUGGAGGAGGCGCACUGCUGCAGGCUUGGAGGGGCCGCUCCAGCUGGCUGGGGGCUCCCCGGACCUGCGCUGGCUGCCGCAGCAGAGCUUCGGCUUGAAGGGAUCCAGGGCAAGUGCGCGGGCUUCGUGGCAUCGCGCCGAGUCCUUCAGCGUCGGCGCCAGCUCCAGCCAAGCAUCCUAUGCCCGCGCGGUGCAAGACCAGGCGGGCGGCGCUCCCUUCCUGCCUCUAUCACCUGCCGGGCAGGUGGGAGAGCAAACUCCCCCUUGCGCCCUAGCUCCCGGAAAUGUACAGAGACAAGAUAAUAAGCGGUAGAAGAAUAGAAAUAACAUCAUAAUUAACCUAG
This 1471-nucleotide long non-coding RNA is filed under the name Homo sapiens (human). RNAcentral's name for it is "novel transcript". The stretch from base 81 to 379 matches the Rfam family "Metazoan signal recognition particle RNA". The record is from RNAcentral. Lineage: Eukaryota; Metazoa; Chordata; Mammalia; Primates; Hominidae.